AACGAACGCUGUCUGCAGGCUUAACACAUGCAAGUCGAGCGCCCCGCACGGGGAACGGCGGUCGGGUGGGUAACGCGUGGGAACGUACCCUUAUCUUCGUGAUAGCUCCGGGUCACUGUAAUUAAUAACCAAUGUGCCCUUUGGCUGAAAGAUUGUUCCGUUAAGGAUCGGCCCGCGUUGGAUUUGCUAGUUGGUGUGGGACAGGCCUACCAAUGCGACGGUACAUAGCUGUUCUGAGAGGAGGAACAACCACAAUGGGACUGAGAAACGGAUCAAACUCCUACGGGAGGCAGCAGUGGGGAAUAUGGGACAACGGGCGCAAGUGUGAGACAACCAUGCCGCGUGAGUGAUGAAGGCCUUAGGGUGGGAAAGAGCGUUCAACGGAGAAGAUAAUGAAGGUAUCCGGAGAAGAAGCCCCGGCUAACUUCGUG
This 431-nucleotide ribosomal RNA is filed under the name uncultured bacterium. Its description in RNAcentral is "partial 16S ribosomal RNA". It matches the Rfam family "Bacterial small subunit ribosomal RNA", at positions 29 to 507 of the family's 1533-position model. The record is from RNAcentral.